UACGUAGGGGGCAAGCGUUGUCCGGAUUUAUUGGGCGUAAAGAGCGUGUAGGCGGCCUGACAGGUCUGCUGUGAAAACUCGAGGCUCAACCUCGAGACGCCGAUGGAAACCAUCUAACUAGAGUCCGGAAGAGGAGAGUGGAAUUCCUGGUGUAGCGGUGAAAUGCGCAGAUAUCAGGAAGAACACCCGUGGCUAAGGCGGCUCUCUAGUACGGUACUGACGCUGAGACGCGAAAGCGUGGGGAGCGAACAGG
RNAcentral lists this ribosomal RNA (253 nucleotides) under uncultured bacterium. RNAcentral describes it as "partial 16S ribosomal RNA". It matches the Rfam family "Bacterial small subunit ribosomal RNA", at positions 524 to 776 of the family's 1533-position model. The record is from RNAcentral.